Long non-coding RNA from Gorilla gorilla gorilla (western lowland gorilla), 797 nucleotides. RefSeq lists it as uncharacterized. The record is from RefSeq and is a predicted model, not a curated record. The transcript has 2 exons. NCBI's taxonomy places the organism in Eukaryota, Metazoa, Chordata, Mammalia, Primates, Hominidae.
AUCGCGGCGAGCGCCGUUGGCGGGGAACCGGGCGGGGAAUCUCUGUGCUUCCUCAGUCCCCAGGCCCAGCACCUGCAGGGCCGACCAGCUCCAGUCCCACGUCCAAUCCUGAGUGGCCAAAAGCCGGAAACCCGGAGUUGGAAUUGGGUCUUGCACAAGCUGGACCACGGAGUGAGGCUACUUGAGAAGCAUCUUAAAUGGGGAGAGAGAGCAAGUUAAAUCUGAUUUCCACGCAGCUCUGUGGAUUCCGAAUGUCCACAGUAUGUUAUCUCCAUUCCCACUUACGAGCCGCUCCUCUUCUGUGUGUUUCCUGCACCACCAUUCGCUCAGUUGCUCUACACUAAAAUUUGCUGUCAUCGUUGACUUCUCCCUCUCCUUCAUCCCCUACAAGUAUCAACAUAGACAACUCCGAUCAAUAUAAUCAUCAGUGAAUAAAGCAAAUUGCAGCGCAUAUUCUUAAAGACAAACUUUCCACUUGCAGCAGCACCUACCUUCCAGAUAGCUAAAUUAAAGCCCGUGUUUAUCAUAGCUGCUUCUAACCAGCCAAAGCUGAUAAUAACUAAGAACUUGCAGGAAUUGCAGUAUGCCAGACCUUCAAUUUAAUUGAAGACUUUCCUGAACAAUUAAUGAGACUUGUCUUAACCAGCAGGGAACGACUUUAGGGACGCAUUCUUCCCUAUGCAGGUGCAAGCCUCAAACGUUAAUUAGGAUCAUCCACCAUGAUCCUCGAGCCCUUCCCCACCUUAUACUUGAAGAGGCUGAACCUCAGAGAAUUAAAUUACCUACAGUCCUGGUCA